This is a long non-coding RNA of Pezoporus occidentalis (night parrot), 1919 nucleotides long. RefSeq lists it as uncharacterized. NCBI's taxonomy places the organism in Eukaryota, Metazoa, Chordata, Aves, Psittaciformes, Psittacidae. The transcript is spliced from 2 exons. The record is from RefSeq and is a predicted model, not a curated record.
GUUAUUCCUGUAGGAAGCUGUGGGCAAGCUGAGCUUUUAAUCCUUUUAUUGCAGAGGGGUGGAGGAGCUUUCUCAUUGCACAUAAAUGUGUGCACAUGAAGAGAAAUCAUAGACUUAUUUUUUUAAGGAACUUGGGAAAAAAAGGUGAUUUUUUGGUAUGUCAUUUUGGUAUGCAAGGUACUCUUUUCUUCUCCCACAGCUUAUAUACCCUGGCAUACAGAAACAUCGCAUUUUGUGGAAACAGGAACAUCUACUACUUCAGAAGUAAGAAGAAGACCAGCAUGGCAUUUAAACUUUCCCCAUUCUUUACCUAGCUAUGCAUGACAAAUUCAAGCCCCAGAAAAUUUUAGUACAAUUAAUUUGCAUGACAAAUGUUCAUACUAGGGAAAAGGUAUAAUCUGCAUUUAAUAUUCUUUCAAAACUUGUUACAUUUUAGGAAAGUGGUAUUUCAGACUAUGCAAAAAUACUGUCUACUUGUCCUGCAUGUGCAAGAGAAAUAAGAUAAAGACAGCCUACACAAAACAAUGAGACAAAAUUGACAAAUGGUGGGACACUGUAUAGACCUUUUUAGGUAAGCUUCUCAUGCUAGCCUGCUGCUGCAGUUGGCAGAAGUGAAAACCCUCCUAGUCUGCAGUUCUGACCUACUUUUAGUUGUCUGCUUUAGGAUAAGAUGGAUCACAUGCUAGAAGGAAUGUAUUCAUAACACGGACUUGAAAGGAAGCCUUGGGUGACUAGCUCAGAUUUAAAUGUAUGUGAUAAAAGAUUAGGGAAGAGAAAUGCCAUUCUUCUUUAUUUAUUUCUUCUGGUGCAUGAUGGGAAGAUUUAACAGGUUGAAAAUGUGCAGCUAUGCUCCACAGAAUGGCUUAAAGACCAUCAAGGAAAUUAUCAAGGAGAUGAAACAUUCUUGUUCUGUCCACUCAGUCUGCAUAGCAUCUCAGUGGCAACUGAAAUGCCACUUGAAAUCUAGAUUUAAAUAUUUUAUGGGAACUACUAAAGCUGCUCUCAUUUCUAGCAAUUUGAGAAGUUGUUCAACACAGCAGGCUCAAACCUCUAGUACCAUGGCUUCAGAAGGGACACCAAUACAGACUGUAGAAAAUAUGUGUCAAGCCUGUGAAGAUUCAUUAGCAUUUGUUGACUUUUUUCCCUUUGUCAGUAAAUGACUCCACCCUCCUUAUUAUUCAGCUCAUUUAAAUACAAUGAAUAGUACAGCUAUUCUUUCCUCACAUUUCUUCCUGUAUGUUAAAUGGAGACAGGAAAAAUACCAGUCGUGACAUGAUCAGUUCCAUUAUGAACCUCCUUGUCAACAGUCAUGAAUCUGAUGCAGUCUCACUUUACAUUCAUCAUUCACAGAGUGCCUUGAUUACAGAACUUUGCAAAGAAGACUUGUGCAAACACAAAUAAGAAACUAAUUCUCUUAAAACAUUUUCCUGAGAUGCUUCUUGCUUGCAGCAAUUUAAAGCUGUAUUCUACUGGGGAGGGUUCUUGCACAGUAAGGACACAACCAUCCAAACAUAUCAUAUUUUGUUCCUGGAACCAGAGGAAAAUGACAGGCAAAGAUGGAUUUGAAGACCUCUGGACUUGUAUGUGCCAUUUUUGAGUUGGUGUGAGUGCUUAAGGUCGGGGAUGGAUUCUGCUAAGCUGGGGAUCAGAGGGCUACUUGUAGCCACCACCUACCUCUCUGGCAAGGUCAGCCCUUGUUCACCUCCAUUAAUGAACAUUAAUUCUGUAGUUUGUGUUCCUUGCUAUUUGCAUAAGGGAAGUUGUGUCCACUUUCAAGGCUAAGCAAAAGUAGUUAAAAUUUAUAUUGGGAAAAAACUUGCAGUUACUCUAAUUCCCUUUGGGGUUUGGCGUUUGGUUUGGGUAUUGGUUUUGCUGUUGCUUCCCCUCCCCGAGGACAAUAUAAACCCAAGAAGCUCCCA